UUUUUCCUGAACUUAAUGGGUUUCGUUUUUCCACAGAAAACUAAACAGAAUUUGAUCCAGAUCAGAACACGGAGUUUUAGUGAUAUCUAGUGGCGAGAAAACAUAUGACGCUCUGGACAUCAUUCUGCUUUAGUUAGAAGUACUCGACCAUGAAUGGACAAAUCUCUAGUUAACCAGAUGUUAAACUUCUUUCUAAUAGUUUCAGUAACAGGGCUAAAGUUAUCCUCCAUAUCUUUACCUUCUUUUGACAUUUUAAUACCAGGGUAAGUAACAGUAAUUUUUCACAGGAAUACCACAAACUUCCUUAUCAGUAACAUUAUUUACAGGUAAAAUUUCAAUUUUUUAUCAGAUACAUUCAAGCGGCUUGAAAAGUCAGUCAGAUAAUGAUUUGAAGAAGAAUAAGACCCGUAUGCGCUUACACAGGCAUGUCCGUCCGUCUCUGCAGUCUAACCCAGUCAGUCUAACCCAGUCGCAAGCUCCUGAGCCACUAACCACAGCGCCUAUACCCACUGCAGGCGGCUCCCUGACAGCACAACUGAUCCAGCUGCACGAGCCGAUCAGCUCAGCUCCCACUUCUUCCUAAAGUGUUCUGUUUUUUAUUCAUAUUUCUUUUUGUGUGUGGAUUUUAAUUAUUUGUUUUUUUCCCCCCUUCCCUCAGUGCUGAGGACCCAGUCUCGUGCCCAGGUGGAGGUUUCCCUCGUUUGGAGUGUCGUGUCCUGGUGAAGGGAUUCACGUAUCCAGACCAGGUCUGAGAGCUUCAGACUCUUUGAAACCUCAGUGGAGAGAGACUUCACCAUCGCCCAUCUCCACCACCAGGCCAGCAGGAGCUCUUCCCUGGGUGUGGUGUGUUCGAGUCAUCGUUCUGCCUUGCUGCCAUGAACCAUUCAUCUAAACCACAUCGCAUACAUCAGUUUCAUGCUCUGUCCAAUCAUGUCGUCACUGUUGGAGUAUCAAAAUCCCUUUUGGUCUUCCUGGAAAUAAUCCCUCUGGAAAAGAAGAAAAGCAGAUCCGUCGAUGCAAUCCUAACUUGUGUCCUGAGAUGUCCCACAGGUUCUAAGCAGUAGGCCACUGCUAUGAUCUACAGUAUGUGGACUGGUUACUCUUUCAUCCUUUAUUUAUUUAUUUUUUUUCUUUUUAAUUUUCGUGGACCAUGAGUUUUAAUACAGUUCCUGCCAAGUGUGUUCUAGGAUUUAGAAGCAUGUAAGUUCUGUUGUUUCAAAGCCAAGUGAGAUUCCUCCUUGUACCUCAGCAGUGCUGUCAGUGUGUUUGUUGAUUAGAAUCUGGAAGUAUUCAUUAUCACCACGUCGGCCAGAUUGAGUACGCCACAGUUCAUGUACUUAAUGCAAUUACAUAAAAAAAGUUUGAUCUCCGGGUACAAGACGACACAAUUUUGUGAAUGUAUUUCUGGUUUUACCCAAAAUAGUUCAUUAAGAAGCCAGGUGGUUUUAACUCGUGUGCUAUCCUGGACAUGUUUACAUUAAAAGUGGGGUCAUCUGGACCCCACAAGACAGCGCGCUAAAGUCUUUUUUCUAAGUAUUUUUAAUCUUUUCUGGUGUCCGUGGCAGACAUAAGAUCCUGUCCACAUUUGUUAUGGGAGAGAUCACACAUCAAUGUAAUGGUUGGGUCAUCUUGACCCUAUAAGAGAGCACAAGGGUUAAAGUACUUUUAAAUUAUUAAAAAAAACAAUUUUGUUAAAACCGACUUUUCAACAAGGGGGUUAGUAAACAAUGUCAGAGCUUGUAUUUAAUUUAUUUUUGUAUCUCAUUUAUGUUUUCUAUUUCUGUAUUUUGUUUAAAACAUGUAAAGAGUCUAAUGCUGUUAUCCCAAUACAAAUGUUGUACUGAUGGUGCUGGUCAAAUGCCAAAUAAAAUGUAACAUUUACAUA
Long non-coding RNA from Oryzias melastigma (Indian medaka), 1885 nucleotides. RefSeq lists it as uncharacterized. The transcript is spliced from 3 exons. The record is from RefSeq and is a predicted model, not a curated record. NCBI's taxonomy places the organism in Eukaryota, Metazoa, Chordata, Actinopteri, Beloniformes, Adrianichthyidae.